GUAGCUUUGAAACUCUGUUUUUAAACUGAAAACGACGUCUCCGUUCGUAAGUGAUAACUCUCUCGUUUUAGCUCCAAAUUUCGUUCCGUUUGAUUCCUGAGAUUGUAGACUCAGCCAUCUACAAGUCCGAGCUUAGUUUUCACACAACGCCGUUCGGAGGUCGAAAUCAAUUCCGUUUGUUUCCCGUGAAAGUAGACUCACGCAUCUACGUUUCUACACCUUUCGUUCGUCAAACGACCCGUCGACUGCUCGUGCUUCGGAGUCUACGCAGGGUUAGCUGUUUGCCAAGAUCACGUGGAUAAGCAAGCAGUUUAUGAUUUGAAAGCUGGUCCACUCCGAUUCUUUGAUUCCUCGGAGGUUUUUAUGUUAUUAAACUAGUUUCUAUUUUUCGAACUCUUAGACCGCAGUAGA
Long non-coding RNA from Mercurialis annua (annual mercury), 411 nucleotides. RefSeq lists it as uncharacterized. NCBI's taxonomy places the organism in Eukaryota, Viridiplantae, Streptophyta, Magnoliopsida, Malpighiales, Euphorbiaceae. The transcript has 4 exons. The record is from RefSeq and is a predicted model, not a curated record.